UGGGGAAUAUUGGACAAUGGGCGCAAGCCUGAUCCAGCCAUGCCGCGUGAGUGAUGAAGGCCCUAGGGUUGUAAAGCUCUUUCACCGGUGAAGAUAAUGACGGUAACCGGAGAAGAAGCCCCGGCUAACUUCGUGCCAGCAGCCGCGGUAAUACGAAGGGGGCUAGCGUUGUUCGGAUUUACUGGGCGUAAAGCGCACGUAGGCGGACUAUUAAGUCAGGGGUGAAAUCCCGGGGCUCAACCCCGGAACUGCCUUUGAUACUGGUAGUCUUGAGUGCGGGAGAGGUGAGUGGAAUUCCGAGUGUAGAGGUGAAAUUCGUAGAUAUUCGGAGGAACACCAGUGGCGAAGGCGGCUCACUGGCUGAAUACUGACGCUGAGGUGCGAAAGCAUGGGGAGCAAACAGG
This 404-nucleotide ribosomal RNA is filed under the name Actinomycetes bacterium. RNAcentral describes it as "Actinobacteria bacterium partial 16S ribosomal RNA". It matches the Rfam family "Bacterial small subunit ribosomal RNA", at positions 355 to 776 of the family's 1533-position model. Lineage: Bacteria; Bacillati; Actinomycetota; Actinomycetes. The record is from RNAcentral.